This 2423-nucleotide unclassified non-coding RNA is filed under the name Hevea brasiliensis (rubber tree). The record is from RNAcentral. Lineage: Eukaryota; Viridiplantae; Streptophyta; Magnoliopsida; Malpighiales; Euphorbiaceae.
AUGAAACUCAAAUCACAUACAUAUUAGUACUUAGCUGUACAUCUGUUUCUUAGAGUACUGCAUAUUUGUUGCAGCUUCAUGCAGUUUUAAAGACAAAAGGUAGUCAACAAUGCAUAACAGUUUUCUUAUGAUCACACCCUAUUACAUUAUAUAUAUAUCAGCUUAACGCUCGAUUGGAAUCUCAUUUCAACACUAAUCUGUGACUCAGUUGAGCCCUGAGAGAUGACAAGUUGAGAACUGGCCUGUUACGUGCUUUGUCCUUCUUAAUCUGGAUUAGCUGGUCAUAAACACACCAGGGAAAGCUAAUGAAAUGAGCUCUUUUCAACCCCUGAUUGUAGCAACCCCAGUAUGUAGGAUGAUAUGUAACGUGGUACCAAGCCGAAGCCUUUGGUAACAUGUCAUCUAUAUCAUUACGCCUCUUGAACCAGGCUCUUGCCUCCUUCCUCAAGGCCCUCACAGCAACACUAAUGGCCUCAGCAUCUUUUCUGCGGUCAAAAGUUUUUGAUGCCUUCAUAAUGCCACCACUAAGUAUUUCAGCCUCUGUUUUUAUGCCAUAGUAGUCCAUUAAAUUACCCAGCUUGUUGUCAUAUUCAGUUUUGUAGUCAAAAGCUUCGUCAAUGUAAUCUUCAAAUCCAUCAACUUCCAUAUCAGCAUCAUAUGAUCUCCUUGCAACAUCUCUUGUGAAGGUCGCGAUAGAGCUAGCCUGAGGUGCUUUGUCCUUCACUUUCCUGAAAAGCUUUCCAAUAACUCUUUCUGAGAUAUAGCUGGUCUUGUCCGGCUUAUCCAUGAAGUCUGGGUAUUCUUUAGGGCGCAACUGAGAUGGUAUUUCAGCGGGAACACCAGUCUUUGGAAAGUCCACUGCAAUUGAAAAGAGCUCAGCAAGUUUUUUGCAUGGAUCACUCAUGGCCAUAUCAGGUUCUCUGUCUGCAAAUACGACAUGGGCAUUUGCUAUGAUUCCCAAACUGUCAUUCACAAUAUAGUUGGUGAAGUACUCUUCAACUUCCUCAAUUGUGACAUCAUGGUCCAACUGUAUGCUGGGUGCUGGAGGAUAUUCCAUCGGCUGGACUUGCCUUGGCGGGAUCAUGUCUUGAUCCCAGCAAACAAAGUAGAUAUCCCCAUCCAAAUCACUCCCAGAACAUUCAUUCGGAUGAGGUCUUUUUCCUUUCUGAGGGAAUACAACACAAUCUACCAUGUGGUGCAGCGCUCGAACAUUUACAGCCUUUAAAACACGAAUAUCACCAGGAUGCAAGCAUGGAUUUUUUGCAACAACCACAUUUCCCUUCAGAAUGAAAUUACUGUUGGUGGAUCUGCUGUUAUUAAAUGGAUGUAAAUCGUCAGAAAACUCUCCAUGUCCAGCACCAGUAAACUGAACAAACACCUGACCAUAUUCCAAGGUUCUGGAUUCAUCCAAACAUCCCAUCAUUGUUCUUCCAUUUGGAAUAAAUAUUCUUGAUCUAGUCCGCAAAUCGAGCAACUUGGAUGCGCGGAAGGUUUGCAACAUCAUUGAAAGAAAGGGCUCAGCAUCAGGCUUAUAACCACAGUUUAGCAUUGCCUUGAGAAUAUUAGUGUUCUCUCCAGGAGACAUCAAUUCCAAAGCCUCCUGUGCCUUCAAAGAAUCAUGCAAGAUAGCAUCAAGCUGAUCUACAGCUUCCUUUUGCUUCUGUUCGAGAACUUCAUCUUUCACUCCAAGUGUAGACAAGAGAGUAAUCAGUUGACGAUUAAGAUAACAAGGCUGAUAUUUGCUCCAUCCAAGGACAUCUAACUUUAUGUUGUCUGAUUCAUAUUUCGACAUGCUCUUUCUCAAAGACAACUUCAUUGAUGAAUCCGGAUCAACACCCACAACACCUUUAUAUCCACCAUAACGAAUCUGGAAAGCAGAUGGGGUAUAUUGAAGGCCACAUUUUGAGGCAACUCUAUGAGCAAAGUCACCAGAUAUUUUACCAAUUCCAUCAGAAAAGACAUAGCUGGUUCCAUGAACCUUUACAUCGGGAAUAACUUCAAUCUCAUGCCUAAGAACACUCAAAGUCUCUCUGGAGGAACCAAAAGAUUGACCAAGUCUGGCAGCAUAUUUUGCGACAUUCUUGAUCUGCGAAAAAUCACCCAUCCAAGCUCUUAUAUCAUUUGCAGUAAGGCCAGGUCUUGAUGCAAACAUCCACACUGAAUUAUCCCGCAACUGGCUCGAUGAAAAUGCAAGAAAUUCAAAUUUUUUAUCACCAAUUACAAAGCCUUUCCGCAGAGUUGAUAAGAUCCUCUCAUAGAUGUUUGUCCUGACACCACUUCCAGUACUUGCUUUUGGUAAUAAGUCUGUAGAAUACAGUUUCUCCCACUCCUCAUCAACAAAAGAAACACGAAGAAAGUUAUCUAUGUCUUCAGAAUAAUUGCGGAGAACCCGAUUGGAAACAUUAACCUCUGGACCACAAAAA